Non-coding RNA from Immersiella caudata, 86 nucleotides. The record is from the annotation of a GenBank genome assembly. NCBI's taxonomy places the organism in Eukaryota, Fungi, Ascomycota, Sordariomycetes, Sordariales, Lasiosphaeriaceae.
GCGACAUUGGUGUAGUGGCUAGCAUCUACGUUUCCCAUACCAACGUGAGACUACGUAGGACUCGAGUUCGAUUCUCGAAUGUCGCA